Molecule: non-coding RNA, 91 nt
Filed under: Clostridium colicanis 209318
Lineage: Bacteria; Bacillati; Bacillota; Clostridia; Eubacteriales; Clostridiaceae
Description: SAM riboswitch aptamer (S box leader)
Rfam family: SAM riboswitch aptamer (S box leader)
About the family: The SAM riboswitch is found upstream of a number of genes which code for proteins involved in methionine or cysteine biosynthesis in Gram-positive bacteria. The SAM riboswitch acts at the level of transcription termination control.
Source: Rfam by way of RNAcentral
AACUUAUCAAGAGUGGUGGAGGGACUGGCCCUAUGAAACCCAGCAACCUACAUUUGAUUUAUGUGUGGUGCUAAAUCCAAGGAGAUAAGGA